RNAcentral lists this unclassified non-coding RNA (216 nucleotides) under Hevea brasiliensis (rubber tree). Lineage: Eukaryota; Viridiplantae; Streptophyta; Magnoliopsida; Malpighiales; Euphorbiaceae. The record is from RNAcentral.
CACCGGGAACCGCCACGAGUUAGGUUCUUGGGUAGAAGCGUCACUGUUCGCACGGCGUUGUUGCCGCAAUUGGGGACGUUGCAGGGUUUCGCAGCUGCUCCCCAGAGAAUAAACCUCGCAGGUUUUUCGUGGGUCGCACGAAGAGGGAGAGCCCCAAGCUUUACACCGCCGUUGGCGACUCGCAAGAGGCCUCGGGUGGAUGGCCGAAGUAGGAAG